GUCUCCUCUAGCUGUGGAGGGAGAUGGGCCUGGCUGCUGGGGAGCUUGAGAAGGUGGUCUCUAAUCCCAUGAACCAUCAACCAAUCAUGCUUUGAGACAAAACACUGCGAAACUGGAGUGAAGGAUCUUCCUGCCUUCCUGGGAGAGGAGAUGAGGAGCGGCAUGAAGAGUGAUUGCGGAGCAAACGGCCAAUUAUAUUAAACCCAGAUCAUUGCAGAUGGACCACACCAGACUGAGGCUGUGUUGCACCUGCUCCAGAGAGCUGCCCUUGAUGAACCAAUCGUCGAGAUACGGGAAGAUCUGGACCCCCCAACAUCUCAGGUCGCCUCCUGUCCCUCUGAGGGGCGGGCUCAGAGCUUCCUGGCUCCUCCCACUCUGGUGUCUGGAGGGACUCGACCCUCUCCGGAGUGGCGGGGAGCCACACCGCCUUGCUGCAGCAUCGCUCUCAGGUGCACCCUCAAAAUGAUUGCUUCUGGCCCCCUGGGUGUUUGGUGGCCCCAGGAUGGGCUGGAAAUCGGGAGGAAGAAGGGUGACAAUGAUCAAAACUGGUAUCCCUUCUUGUAGAUCCCUGACAAGGUUAUAAGGUUCUUGGUGGCGGCGGUGAGGCCGGAAGGGUUUUCUGGCUGAUUGCGGUGUGUGCAUGCCCAAUGAGCGAAGGGUAGCCCUAAUGUCCUUCAACUGUGCAGCCUGGCAUCUGUCUGAUCCGAGAACAGACCAACUCCGUCAAAAGGGAGGUCCUGGACUGAGGCCUGCAUCUCCUGGGAGAGGCCCGCUGCCUGGAGCCAGGAGCUGCAUCACAUGAUCACCACUGUUGCGACCACCCUUGCCAUUGAGUCUGUAUGUCCCAUGCCAUCUGCAGGGAACAUCUCACCACCGCAGUACCCUCCUCCACCAGAGUGCCAAACUCUUGGGCCAAACCCAAGGGAGGGAUUCCUGGAACUUUUUGAGACUGUCCCAGAGAUUAAAAUUGUACUGGCCCCCAGGGCCUGUUGGUUCACCACCCAAAAUUGCAGGCUAGCGACUGAAUAAAUUUUUCUCCC
Molecule: long non-coding RNA, 1040 nt
Organism: Chelonia mydas (Green sea turtle)
Lineage: Eukaryota; Metazoa; Chordata; Testudines; Cheloniidae
Exons: 4
Source: RefSeq, a predicted model, not a curated record